CCGCUCGUGAAAAACGUUGAUACAUUUAACAUCAAAAUUUCAAUAUUUAUUUUAAAGGGGCUUAAACUGCCGUCCAUAUUCUGAAAUACCUCUGCCAUUGCGGCUUAAUAAUAAAUUAAUUAAAAAAAGAAAAUUUAAAGCUGUAAAAUAAAUGAAAUGCUACAAUACAAAGAGAUAAUGAAUCUACCACCGGAUUGGAAACACGACCCACUGAGAAGACCCGGCGAAAAACUCAGUGGGCUGUGUCUAUCGGGCGAAGCGAUGAGACCAAUCAGGAGUCCCGAAAAUAAAGAAAGGAUAAUUUUCGAUGCGGAAAAUUAAAUAAAACACAUGAACGAUUGAAACUAUAAA
Bombyx mori (domestic silkworm) is the source of this 351-nucleotide long non-coding RNA. RefSeq lists it as uncharacterized. NCBI's taxonomy places the organism in Eukaryota, Metazoa, Arthropoda, Insecta, Lepidoptera, Bombycidae. The record is from RefSeq and is a predicted model, not a curated record. The transcript has 2 exons.